Molecule: ribosomal RNA, 1352 nt
Filed under: uncultured bacterium
Lineage: Bacteria
Description: 16S ribosomal RNA
Rfam family: Bacterial small subunit ribosomal RNA
Source: RNAcentral
GCCUAACACAUGCAAGUCGAGGGGUAACAGGGGCUUCGGCCCGCUGACGACCGGCGCACGGGUGAGUAACGCGUAUGCAACCUGCCUGUAACAGCGGGAUAGCUCCCUGAAAGGGGAAUUAACACCGCAUAAGACCACGCUCUCGCAUGGGGACGGGGUAAAAUAUUUAUAGGUUACAGAUGGGCAUGCGUGACAUUAGUUAGUUGGUGAGGUAACGGCUCACCAAGACUGCGAUGUCUAGGGGUUUUGAGAGGAAGGCCCCCCACACUGGGACUGAGACACGGCCCAGACUCCUACGGGAGGCAGCAGUGAGGAAUAUUGGACAAUGGAUGGAAAUCUGAUCCAGCCAUGCCGCGUGCAGGAAGACGGCCUUAUGGGUUGUAAACUGCUUUUAUACGGGAGCAAUAAGGGUUACGAGUAAUCCGAUGAGAGUACUGUAUGAAUAAGGAUCGGCUAACUCCGUGCCAGCAGCCGCGGUAAUACGGAGGAUCCGAGCGUUAUCCGGAAUUAUUGGGUUUAAAGGGUGCGUAGGCGGCCAUUUAAGUCAGCGGUGAAAUUUUGCAGCUUAACUGUAACAGUGCCGUUGAUACUGUUUGGCUAGGAUUUGGUUGUAGUGUGCGGAAUGUGUGGUGUAGCGGUGAAAUGCUUAGAUAUCACACAGAACACCGAUUGCGAAGGCAGCACACUAAGUCAUUAUUGACGCUGAGGCACGAAAGUGUGGGGAUCAAACAGGAUUAGAUACCCUGGUAGUCCACACUGUAAACGAUGAUAACUCGCUGUCGGCGAUACACAGUCGGUGGCCAAGCGAAAGCAUUAAGUUAUCCACCUGGGGAGUACGACCGCAAGGUUGAAACUCAAAGGAAUUGACGGGGGCCCGCACAAGCGGAGGAACAUGUGGUUUAAUUCGAUGAUACGCGAGGAACCUUACCCGGGCUCGAACGGUGCAUGAAUAUACGAGAGAUUGUAUAGUCCUUCGGGACAUGUAUCGAGGUGCUGCAUGGUUGUCGUCAGCUCGUGCCGUGAGGUGUCGGCUUAAGUGCCAUAACGAGCGCAACCCUUGUCAUUAGUUGCCUUCAGGUCAAGCUGGGGACUUUAAUGAGACUGCCACCGUAAGGUGUGAGGAAGGGGGGGAUGACGUCAAAUCAGCACGGCCCUUAUGUCCGGGGCGACACACGUGUUACAAUGGGAGGUACAGAGGGCAGCUAUCCGGUGACGGAAUGCUAAUCUCCAAAACCUUUCUCAGUUCGGAUUGGAGUCUGCAACUCGACUCCAUGAAGGUGGAUUCGCUAGUAAUCGCGCAUCAGCCAUGGCGCGGUGAAUACGUUCCCGGGCCUUGUACUCACCGCCCGUCA